Molecule: ribosomal RNA, 316 nt
Filed under: Ophiotaenia sp. HA-2011
Lineage: Eukaryota; Metazoa; Platyhelminthes; Cestoda; Proteocephalidea; Proteocephalidae
Description: partial 16S ribosomal RNA
Rfam family: Bacterial large subunit ribosomal RNA
Source: RNAcentral
AAUGGCCGCAGUAUUUUGACUGUGCGAAGGUAGCAUAAUUAAUUGCCUUAUAAUUGAGGGCUUGUUUGAAUGGUUUGACGAGGUAAUUAUAAAUAUCUAUUCUUUUUUUGAAAUUAGUAUUGAGGGCACAGAAUCCUCAAAAUUUAGUUAGACGGAAAGACCCCGGAAUCUUGUUAUUUUGUCUGGGGCAGAUUUUAGUAUUUUACUGAUAUUUUGACCCUUUUAUAGUUUAUUGGGAUAAGUUACUCCGGGGAUAACAGUGUAAUAGUUAAUUAGAGGUCUUAUCGAAUUAACUGUUUGCUACCUCGAUGUUGAC